RNAcentral lists this ribosomal RNA (468 nucleotides) under uncultured bacterium. RNAcentral's name for it is "partial 16S ribosomal RNA". It matches the Rfam family "Bacterial small subunit ribosomal RNA", at positions 28 to 507 of the family's 1533-position model. The record is from RNAcentral.
GACGAACGCUGGCGGCGUGCUUAACACAUGCAAGUCGAACGGAAAGGCCCUGCUUUUGUGGGGUGCUCGAGUGGCGAACGGGUGAGUAACACGUGAGUAACCUGCCCUUGACUUUGGGAUAACUUCAGGAAACUGGGGCUAAUACCGGAUAGGAGCUCCUGCUGCAUGGUGGGGGUUGGAAAGUUUCGGCGGUUGGGGAUGGACUCGCGGCUUAUCAGCUUGUUGGUGGGGUAGUGGCUUACCAAGGCUUUGACGGGUAGCCGGCCUGGGAGGGUGACCGGCCACAUUGGGACUGAGGUACGGCCCAGACGCCUACGGGAGGCAGCGGUGGGGAAUAUUGCACAAUAGGCGGAAGCCUGAUGCAGCGACGCCGCGUGCGGGAUGACGGCCUUCGGGUUGUAAACCGCUUUCGCCUGUGACGAAGAGUGAGUGACGGUAAUGGGUAAAGAAGCACCGGCUAACUACGUG